CCACUGCUCUCCAGGCUGGCGACAGGGCAAGACUCCGUCUCAACAACAACAAAAAAAGAAGUGUUGAGUAACCAGUGAGCUGACAAGCCCACCACGUGGAGGACUCGGGCUGUGAGAAGCUCGGCAGGAAGGCGGGAGAGGCCCCACCUUCAGAGGCGCAGCUCAGAAGGCUUGAGAGCUCCCCGUGAAAGGGAUCCCUGCAGUGCAGAAACUGUCUCUGUUACCUGCAUUGCUCUGAACAAAACCGACCCAGAGCAGUUUCAGUGAUGGUGAUAAUCUCAAGCAAUGCCAUUACCAAAUCUUAAUGCCCUGAUCCUGGCCACCUUUGAGGAGGUAA
Molecule: long non-coding RNA, 337 nt
Organism: Homo sapiens (human)
Lineage: Eukaryota; Metazoa; Chordata; Mammalia; Primates; Hominidae
Gene: RNF216-IT1
Product: RNF216 intronic transcript 1
Source: Ensembl